Molecule: ribosomal RNA, 292 nt
Filed under: uncultured bacterium
Lineage: Bacteria
Description: partial 16S ribosomal RNA
Rfam family: Bacterial small subunit ribosomal RNA
Source: RNAcentral
GGAUUAGAUACCCUGGUAGUCCACGCUGUAAACGAUGGAUGCUAGAUGUCGGGGAGUAUUCUUCGGUGUCGUAGUUAACGCGUUAAGCAUCCCGCCUGGGGAGUACGGUCGCAAGGCUGAAACUCAAAGAAAUUGACGGGGGCCCGCACAAGCGGUGGAGUAUGUGGUUUAAUUCGAUGCAACGCGAAGAACCUUACCUAGGUUUGACAUCCACGGAACCCUCCCGAAAAGGAGGGGUGCCCUUCGGGGAGCCGUGUGACAGGUGCUGCAUGGCUGUCGUCAGCUCGUGCCG